RNAcentral lists this ribosomal RNA (1041 nucleotides) under Quercicola guttulospora. Its description in RNAcentral is "SSU rRNA". It matches the Rfam family "Eukaryotic small subunit ribosomal RNA", at positions 77 to 1130 of the family's 1831-position model. The record is from RNAcentral. Lineage: Eukaryota; Fungi; Ascomycota; Dothideomycetes; Pleosporales; Astrosphaeriellaceae.
UACCGUGAAACUGCGAAUGGCUCAUUAAAUCAGUUAUCGUUUAUUUGAUAGUACCUUACUACUUGGAUAACCGUGGUAAUUCUAGAGCUAAUACAUGCUAAAAACCCCGACUUCGGGAGGGGUGUAUUUAUUAGAUAAAAAACCAAUGCCCUUUGGGGCUCUUUGGUGAUUCAUGAUAACUUAACGGAUCGCAUGGCCUUGCGCUGGCGACGGUUCAUUCAAAUUUCUGCCCUAUCAACUUUCGAUGGUAAGGUAUUGGCUUACCAUGGUGGCAACGGGUGACGGGGAAUAAGGGUUCGGUUCCGGAGAGGGAGCCUGAGAAACGGCUACCACAUCCAAGGAAGGCAGCAGGCGCGCAAAUUACCCAAUCCCGACACGGGGAGGUAGUGACAAUAAAUACUGAUACAGGGCUCUUUUGGGUCUUGUAAUUGGAAUGAGUACAAUUUAAACCCCUUAACGAGGAACAAUUGGAGGGCAAGUCUGGUGCCAGCAGCCGCGGUAAUUCCAGCUCCAAUAGCGUAUAUUAAAGUUGUUGCAGUUAAAAAGCUCGUAGUUGAACCUUGGGCCUGGCUGGCCGGUCCGCCUCACCGCGUGUACUGGUCCGGCCGGGCCUUUCCUUCUGGAGAGCCGCAUGCCCUUCACUGGGUGUGUUGGGGAACCAGGACUUUUACUUUGAAAAAAUUAGAGUGUUCAAAGCAGGCCUUUGCUCGAAUACGUUAGCAUGGAAUAAUAGAAUAGGACGUGCGGUUCUAUUUUGUUGGUUUCUAGGACCGCCGUAAUGAUUAAUAGGGAUAGUCGGGGGCAUCAGUAUUCAAUUGUCAGAGGUGAAAUUCUUGGAUUUAUUGAAGACUAACUACUGCGAAAGCAUUUGCCAAGGAUGUUUUCAUUAAUCAGUGAACGAAAGUUAGGGGAUCGAAGACGAUCAGAUACCGUCGUAGUCUUAACCGUAAACUAUGCCGACUAGGGAUCGGCGAUGUACUAUUUGACUCGCUCGGCACCUUACGAGAAAUCAAGUUUUUGGGUUCUGGGGGGAGUAUGGUC